GGUUAGCGGCGUGCUCGUGCCAUGUGCCUGUCAGUUCUGCAAGCAUUUGUUGGAUGUGAAGGUUGGUGUGAUGACCACGCUGCCCAUAACAGGCCGGUGGUUGACGUGGUCUCCAUGAGCUGUGUGCAUCCUUCAGUGACGAGACAAGAUUUGUGCCCCCCGGGAAGGUCCCCAGCCUCCCCCCACCUGCCCUCUGAAAAUCUUCCUUGAUUUCCUCUCAUCCGUCCCUCAGGGGUCCUGUCUUUGUGAUGUCAGCGUGAAGUGGAAUUCACAGAAUGGCUAAAGUGGAGGGAAGACUUAAAAUGCAUUGGAUGAUGAUAGCAGCCUCAUUUACAAUCACCACGACUUGGAAGCAGCCGAGAUGUCCUUUGGCAGAUGAUUGGAGAAAUGAACUGUGGCACAUCCAUGCAGACCAUGGAAUACUAUUCAGUGCUAAAAAUGAGUGAGCUUUCCAUCCUUGUAAAGACAUAGAGAAACCUGAAAUGCAGAUCACAAAGUGAAAGGCCAAUCUGGAAAGGCUACACACCCUAUGACUCCAACCCUGUGACAUUCCCAAAGAGGAAAAAUUAUGGGGACAGUAAAAAGAGGAGCUGCCAUCAUUAGGGAAGCAGGAGCUGAGGAGAGUCAGAGUGACACCAUUGAAAAAUCUUCUCUGUCUUGAGACUAACAAGGUACCUUCCUUGCCAGUCACAACCCAUGGUCCUAAGAUGGUCGCAGCUAAGGAGGCAGCUUGGUACUGCCUGCAAGGACAAACUCCUAAAACAACAGAAAGCCCAGAUGUCCCAAUACCCAUAGCAAUAUGUGCUUUCAAGAUAAUUAUAGAUAUGCUUUGAUGUACUCAUGUACUAGACUGUUAAGGAUAGUUUUCUUUAAACCAGUAGCAUAAUCAAUUUUGUCGUGCUGUCUGCUCCCCCUCACAGAGUCGCAGCUUGGUUUAGUCAUUAUGUAGACAAGACCCCUAUAUAAGAAAAACUUAAAACAAAGACGGUGCAUUCUCUCGGAAGGUCCCGUGAUCUGUAAUGGAGUAGGUUUUAAUAAACG
Molecule: long non-coding RNA, 1041 nt
Filed under: Pan troglodytes (chimpanzee)
Lineage: Eukaryota; Metazoa; Chordata; Mammalia; Primates; Hominidae
Description: lncRNA (ENSPTRG00000054314.1)
Source: RNAcentral